AUGAUGAGUGCCAAGACACUCGCUCGGCUGGCGAAGAAGUGGCAGAGGGUGGUGGCUAUCGGGCGGAAGAGGCUGACCUGGUCGUCAUCAACGUCAGCGGAAGAAACCGGAGGGCCGUGUGGCACAUCAUGCUCAUCGGUGGCCGGCAAGGGACACUUCAUCGUGUACACCACCGACGGUGUGAGGUUCGAGGUGCCGCUUGCGUUCCUUGGCACGACAGUCUUCGGCGAGCUCUUCAGGAUGUCCCAAGAGGAGUUCGGCUUCGCAGGCGUUGACAGUGGCAGAAUCACGCUGCCCUGCGAUGCAUCGAUGAUGGAGUACGCGAUGUGCUUGCUCAGGAGAAGUGCCUCUGCAGAGAUGGAAGCCGCGUUCCUCCACUCCAUGGCGAUGUCAUGCCAUUAUCAUGCGGCAGCACAUCUGGGAGUUAGCCAGCCUUUUGGUGUCUGCAGCUCGUGA
RNAcentral lists this ribosomal RNA (456 nucleotides) under Triticum aestivum (bread wheat). Its description in RNAcentral is "partial small subunit ribosomal RNA". Lineage: Eukaryota; Viridiplantae; Streptophyta; Magnoliopsida; Poales; Poaceae. The record is from RNAcentral.